This 207-nucleotide ribosomal RNA is filed under the name uncultured bacterium. RNAcentral's name for it is "partial 16S ribosomal RNA". It matches the Rfam family "Bacterial small subunit ribosomal RNA", at positions 568 to 774 of the family's 1533-position model. The record is from RNAcentral.
CGCGCAGGCGGUCUUGUCCGUCAGGUGUGAAAGCUCGGGGCUCAACCCCGGAAGUGCACUUGAAACAGCAAGACUUGAAUGCGGGAGAGGAGAGAGGAAUUCCUGGUGUAGAGGUGAAAUUCGUAGAUAUCAGGAGGAACACCGAUGGCGAAGGCAUCUCUCUGGACCGAUAUUGACGCUGAGGCGCGAAGGCGUGGGUAGCGAACG